Molecule: ribosomal RNA, 561 nt
Filed under: Triticum aestivum (bread wheat)
Lineage: Eukaryota; Viridiplantae; Streptophyta; Magnoliopsida; Poales; Poaceae
Description: partial small subunit ribosomal RNA
Source: RNAcentral
AUGACUUCCUCCUGGAUGUUGCUUUCCCUCGUCUUCCUUCUGGCUACCUCGUCGGCGCGCGCCGGCGGGUUCAAGCACAUCCACCUGUACAUGCACGAGACCUUCACGGGCCCGAACGCCACGCUGUUUUCAGUGGUGCCGCCCCUGCACCGGGGCGACAACGCAAGGUUUGGGAUGGUCGGAGUGCUCGACGACGAGCUGCGCGACGGCCCGGGCCCGAGAAACUCGUCGCUGGUCGGCCGGUUCCAGUCCCUCUUCGCCUUCGCGGGGCUGGUGACGCCGCCGGGCAUGCAGACGGCGACCAGCCUCGUGUUCACGGCCGGGCAGAACGCCGGGAGCACGCUGGUCAUGGUGGGCAGCAUCGUGAGCUCCGAGGGCCCCUACGAGACCGCCCUGGUGGGCGGCACCGGCGCGUUCAGGAUGGCGCGCGGGUACUGCGUUCUGAAGGCCGUAUGGAGCCCGACGCCGGAGUCCACCGUGUACGAGGUAAACCUGUUGUUGAAGCUGGGAGGAAACCUGUUGGCAAAGAUGGAUGCCUGGAAACGUACGUAUGCACUGUGA